This 207-nucleotide ribosomal RNA is filed under the name Triticum aestivum (bread wheat). Its description in RNAcentral is "partial small subunit ribosomal RNA". The record is from RNAcentral. Lineage: Eukaryota; Viridiplantae; Streptophyta; Magnoliopsida; Poales; Poaceae.
AGAACACCAAAGCUGUAGAUGUCGGAUUUCAUGGUGAGUUUGCCACUCACCACGUAAUCAGGGGCGCAGUAUCCAUAGGUACCCAUGACCCUGGUAGACACAUGAGUCCUGUCACCAACGGGCCCAACUUUUGCCAGUCCAAAAUCGGAGAGCUUUGGGCUGAAGUCCUCAUCCAGCAGAAUGUUGGCAGCUUUCAUGUCGCGGUAA